GGUGACGUAGCCAAGCUGGUCUAAGGCCGCGGUCUGCAAAACCGCUAUCACGGGUUCGAAUCCCGUCGUCACCU
This 74-nucleotide transfer RNA is filed under the name Candidatus Dojkabacteria bacterium. RNAcentral's name for it is "tRNA-Cys". It matches the Rfam family "tRNA". From Rfam's summary of the family: Transfer RNA (tRNA) molecules are approximately 80 nucleotides in length. Their secondary structure includes four short double-helical elements and three loops (D, anti-codon, and T loops). The record is from RNAcentral.